GAUGAACGCUGGCGGCGUGCCUAAUACAUGCAAGUCGAGCGAACGGACGAGAAGCUUGCUUCUCUGAUGUUAGCGGCGGACGGGUGAGUAACACGUGGAUAACCUACCUAUAAGACUGGGAUAACUUCGGGAAACCGGAGCUAAUACCGGAUAAUAUUUUGAACCGCAUGGUUCAAAAGUGAAAGACGGUCUUGCUGUCACUUAUCGAUGGAUCCGCGCUGCAUUAGCUAGUUGGUAAGGUAACGGCUUACCAAGGCAACGAUGCAUAGCCGACCUGAGAGGGGGAUCGCCCACACUGGAACUGAGACACGGUCCAGACUACUAAGGGAGGCAGCAGUAGGGAAUCUGCCGCAAUGGGCGAAAGCCUGACGGAGCAACGCCGCGUGAGUGAUGAAGGUCUUCGGAUCGUAAAACUCUGUUAUUAGGGAAGAACAUAUUUGUAAGUAACUGUGCACAUCUUGACGGUACCUAAUCAGAAAGCCACGGCUAACUACGUG
This 497-nucleotide ribosomal RNA is filed under the name uncultured bacterium. RNAcentral describes it as "partial 16S ribosomal RNA". It matches the Rfam family "Bacterial small subunit ribosomal RNA", at positions 28 to 507 of the family's 1533-position model. The record is from RNAcentral.